RNAcentral lists this ribosomal RNA (405 nucleotides) under uncultured bacterium. Its description in RNAcentral is "bacterial SSU rRNA". It matches the Rfam family "Bacterial small subunit ribosomal RNA", at positions 329 to 751 of the family's 1533-position model. The record is from RNAcentral.
UUUAAGCUUCCUACGGGAGGCUGCAGUGGGGAAUCUUGCGCAAUGGGCGAAAGCCUGACGCAGCCAUGCCGCGUGAAUGAUGAAGGUCUUAGGAUUGUAAAAUUCUUUCACCGGGGACGAUAAUGACGGUACCCGGAGAAGAAGCCCCGGCUAACUUCGUGCCAGCAGCCGCGGUAAUACGAAGGGGGCUAGCGUUGCUCGGAAUUACUGGGCGUAAAGGGAGCGUAGGCGGACAUUUAAGUCAGGGGUGAAAUCCCGGGGCUCAACCUCGGAAUUGCCUUUGAUACUGGGUGUCUUGAGUAUGAGAGAGGUGUGUGGAACUCCGAGUGUAGAGGUGAAAUUCGUAGAUAUUCGGAAGAACACCAGUGGCGAAGGCGACACACUGGCUCAUUACUGACGCUGAGG